ACUUGCUUUUUCUCCCGCUUUGUCAUUGUAGGAGAAAACCAAAGAACUAGCAGAGAAGCAGGCGCAACUGAGCCCAUCUCGCUGGCCAGCUGCGCCAUGGCUGAUCUGGUUCCAGACUUGCAGCCCAUUCUUUUCUGGAUGUCUAACUCCAUCGAGCUCCUGUACUUUAUCCAGCAGAAAUGCCCACUCUACAUGCAGAGCAUGGAGGAGCAGCUGGACAUCACAGGCUCGAAGGAGUCGCUGUUCUCCUGCACGCUGACGGCCAGUGAGGAGGCCAUGGCGGUGCUGGAGGAGGUGGUGCUGUACGCCUUCCAGCAGUGCGUCUACUACGUCUCCAAGUCCCUGUACAUCUGCCUCCCGGCACUCCUGGAGUGCCCGCCGUUCCAGACGGAGCGCCGUGAGAGCUGGUCCUCAGCCCCUGAACUGCCCGAGGAGCUGCGCCGCGUGGUGUCCGUGUACCAGGCAGCCCUGGACCUCCUGCGGCAGCUGCAGGUGCACCCCGAGGUGGCCUCGCAGAUGCUCGCCUACCUCUUCUUCUUCUCCGGGACACUGCUCCUCAACCAGCUCCUCGACAGGGGCCCCUCCCUGAGCUGCUUCCACUGGCCCAGAGGUGUCCAGGCCUGCGCCCGCCUGCAGCAGCUCCUGGAGUGGAUGCGGAGCGCCGGCUUCGGGGCGGCGGGAGAGCACUUCUUCCGGAAGCUCUCCUGCACCCUCAAUCUGCUGGCCACACCCAGGGCCCAGCUCAUCCAGAUGAGCUGGACAGCCCUGCGGGCCGCGUUCCCCGCCCUGAGCCCAGCACAGCUGCACCGGCUGCUGACUCACUACCAGCUGGCCUCGGCCAUGGGCCCCAUGAGCGCCUGGGAGCCAGGGGCCCAGGACAGCCCCGAGGCCUUCAGGUCAGAGGAUGUCCUGGAGUCCUACGAAAACCCCCCACCCAUCGUCCUGCCCAGCGAGGGCUUCCAGGUGAACUUGGAAGCCGACUGCCUGGACGACAGCAUCUACCAGCACCUGCUCUACGUCCGUCACUUUCUGUGGGGCCUGCGGAGCAGAGCCAGCCCCGGCAGCCCUGGCAGUGGGGCUCCCCAGCCAGUGUGCCCCGAGGGUAUGCACCACACGGUCCCUGACCGUCACCCGGAGGCCCCAAGCUGCCCCCUGGCUCCCAGGGACCCUGGCCUAGCAGCCCGGGAAGCCGCCCCAGAGCGCACUCUUGCCUUGAGGGGGGCUCCCUGGGCACAGGCACCCCCUGGAAGGCAACCCGGCCGUGGGGGCUCCCAGACUGGCCCCCCGCACACGGACUCGUCCUGCUUGCUCACGCCUCCCAGCACUCCACUUGGUCCUGAGCCUGGGGACCCCGACUGGCCAGAGUCCGGCGGCCCCUGUGGAAAAGCGCUCCCAGAGAGGCAGAGGAACGGACCCAGCGCCCUCCGGGGUGCAGCUCCGGAAGGAGACUCUGCAGCCCUUGUGGACGAGUCCCCUCCAGCCCUGUCCAGCCGCAGCUCCAGCACCGAGGACUUCUGCUACGUCUUCAUGGUGGAGCUGGAACGAGGCCCCUCCGGGCUGGGGAUGGGCCUGAUCGACGGGAUGCACACGCGCCUGGGCACCCCUGGGCUCUACAUCCAGACUCUGCUCCCGGGCAGCCCCGCAGCGGCCGACGGGCGCCUGUCGCUGGGGGACCGUAUCCUGGAGGUGAACGGCAGCAGCCUCCUGGGCCUCGGCUACCUGAGAGCCGUGGACCUGAUCCGUCACGGCGGGAAGAAGAUGCGGUUCCUGGUCGCCAAGUCUGACGUGGAAACAGCCAAGAAGAUCCAUUUCCGCACGCCCCCUCUCUAGGGGGACUGCGAGGACACCCCCACAGGCCCGGCACCCGGUCCCACCUGGUGACACUAGGCUUCCUCCCACCUUCGUCCCUGUUUUGUAACUGACCAAGUCGGGUCCCGGGUGGGGAGCCUCACCUUGGGGACACGCCUGUUGAUAACAUGCAUCUCGGUGUAGAUUCUAUUUAUACGGCAGAUGACGUGAAGUUGUGAUGUUUGUUACAGAGCUUUUAUGUUUAAAGACUUUAAUGGAGAAGUACGGUUCAAUAAACUAUUUUUCCCAUU
This 2099-nucleotide small RNA is filed under the name Pongo abelii (Sumatran orangutan). RNAcentral describes it as "retained intron". The record is from RNAcentral. Lineage: Eukaryota; Metazoa; Chordata; Mammalia; Primates; Hominidae.